UUCGCAAUGCCCGAAAGGGUGACGAAGCGACGCCGCGUGGGUGAGGAAGGCCUUCGGGUUGUAAAGCCCUGUCAGGAGUUAAGAAAUGUAGACUCGCUAAUAUCGGGUCUAUUUGACAAAGGCUCCAAAGGAAGCCACGGCUAACUCUGUGCCAGCAGCCGCGGUAAUACAGAGGUGGCAAGCGUUGUUCGGAAUUAUUGGGCGUAAAGAGCACGUAGGUGGAUUUGUAAGUCAGACGUGAAAGCCUUCUGUUCAACGGAAGAAUUGCAUCUGAAACUACAAACCUUGAGUGUAGGAGGGGAGAAUGGAACUUCUGGUGGAGCGGUGAAAUGCGUAGAUAUCAGAAGGAACGUCGGCGGCGAAAGCGACUCUCUGGCCUAUUACUGACACUCAGUGUGCGAAAGUUAGGGGAGCAAACGGGAUUAGAUACCCCGGUAGUCCUAGCCGUAAACGAUGGGCACUAAGUAGAGGGGUUUU
This 477-nucleotide ribosomal RNA is filed under the name Candidatus Scalindua brodae. Its description in RNAcentral is "bacterial SSU rRNA". It matches the Rfam family "Bacterial small subunit ribosomal RNA", at positions 365 to 832 of the family's 1533-position model. Lineage: Bacteria; Pseudomonadati; Planctomycetota; Candidatus Brocadiia; Candidatus Brocadiales; Candidatus Scalinduaceae. RNAcentral also lists the same sequence under 1 other name. The record is from RNAcentral.